RNAcentral lists this ribosomal RNA (891 nucleotides) under uncultured bacterium. RNAcentral describes it as "bacterial SSU rRNA". It matches the Rfam family "Bacterial small subunit ribosomal RNA", at positions 55 to 947 of the family's 1533-position model. The record is from RNAcentral.
AUGCAGUCGAGCGAGGCUCCGCCCUUCGGGGUGGAUGUCCUAGCGGCAAACGGCUGAGUAACGCGUGGGUGAUCUACCCCAGAGAGGGGAAUAACCCGCCGAAAGGCGGACUAAUUCCGCAUACGCUCCACCGUGUAAAGGCAGUGGUGGAAAGGGUUCCGGGCAACCGGGGCCGCUCUGGGAGGAGCUCGCGUCCUAUCAGGUUGUUGGUGGGGUAACGGCCUACCAAAUGCCGAAGACGGGUAGCUGGUGUGAGAGCACGACCAGCCAGAGGGGGACUGAGACACGGCCCCCACUCCUACGGGAGGCAGCAGCAGGGAAUCUUGCACAAUGGGCGAAAGCCUGAUGCAGCGACGCCGCGUGAGGGACGAAGGCUUUAGGGUUGUAAACCUCUUUUCUCAGGGAAGAGCAAGGACGGUACCUGAGGAAUAAGCCACGGCUAACUACGUGCCAGCAGCCGCGGUAAUACGUAGGUGGCAAGCGUUGUCCGGAAUUAUUGGGCGUAAAGGGUCCGUAGGCUGUUUUGUAAGUCUCCUGUGAAAACUCCAGGCUCAACUUGGAGCGGUCGGGGGAUACUGCGAGACUAGAGGCUGUCAGAGGAAAGCGGAAUUCCCGGUGUAGUGGUGAAAUGCGUAGAUAUCGGGAGGAACAUCAGUGGCGAAAGCGGCUUUCUGGGACAGUUCUGACGCUGAGGGACGAAAGCGUGGGGAGCAAACCGGAUUAGAUACCCGGGUAGUCCACGCCCUAAACGAUGGAUGCUAGGUUUGUGGGGUAUCGACCCCCUGCGAGCCAAAGCUAACGCGAUAAGCAUCCCGCCUGGGGACUACGGCCGCAAGGCUAAAACUCAAAGGAAUUGACGGGGGCCCGCACAAGCAGCGGAGCGUGUGGUUU